RNAcentral lists this ribosomal RNA (531 nucleotides) under uncultured bacterium. RNAcentral's name for it is "bacterial SSU rRNA". It matches the Rfam family "Bacterial small subunit ribosomal RNA", at positions 355 to 896 of the family's 1533-position model. The record is from RNAcentral.
UGGGGAAUAUUGCACAAUGGGCGGAAGCCUGAUGCAGCGACGCCGCGUGGGGGAUGACGGCCUUCGGGUUGUAAACCCCUUUCGCCCGGGACGAAGCGAGAGUGACGGUACCGGGAGAAGAAGCACCGGCCAACUACGUGCCAGCAGCCGCGGUAAUACGUAGGGUGCAAGCGUUGUCCGGAAUUAUUGGGCGUAAAGAGCUCGUAGGCGGUGUGUCGCGUCUGCCGUGAAAACCUGCGGCUUAACCGUGGGCGUGCGGUGGAUACGGGCACACUUGAGUUCGGUAGGGGAGACUGGAAUUCCUGGUGUAGCGGUGGAAUGCGCAGAUAUCAGGAGGAACACCAGUGGCGAAGGCGGGUCUCUGGGCCGAAACUGACGCUGAGGAGCGAAAGCGUGGGGAGCGAACAGGAUUAGAUACCCUGGUAGUCCACGCCGUAAACGGUGGGCGCUAGGUGUGGGAUGCUGUUCACGUGUCCCGUGCCGUAGCUAACGCAUUAAGCGCCCCGCCUGGGGAGUACGGCCGCAAGGCUA